GCAUAACGCGAAGAACCUUACCAAGGCUUGACAUCCUCUGACAGGCGUGGAAACACGCUUUUCCUUCGGGACAGGGAGACAGGUGGUGCAUGGUUGUCGUCAGCUCGUGUCGUGAGAUGUUCGGUUAAGUCCGGCAACGAGCGCAACCCUUACAAACAGUUGCCAAUAUUAAGUUAGGGACUCUGUUUGGACUGCCGUGGGUUAACACGGAGGAAGGUGGGGAUGACGUCAAAUCAUCAUGCCCCUUACGCCUUGGGCUACACACGUGCUACAAUGGGCGCUACAAAGAGCAGCAGGCCGGCAACGGUGAGCGAAUCUCAAAAAAGCGCUCUCAGUUCAGAUUGUGGGCUGCAACCCGCCCACAUGAAGGAGGAGUUGCUAGUAAUCCCGAAUCAGCAUGUCGGGGUGAAUGCGUUCCCGGGUCUUGUACACACCG
This 436-nucleotide ribosomal RNA is filed under the name uncultured bacterium. RNAcentral describes it as "bacterial SSU rRNA". It matches the Rfam family "Bacterial small subunit ribosomal RNA", at positions 954 to 1392 of the family's 1533-position model. The record is from RNAcentral.